This is a long non-coding RNA of Mangifera indica (mango), 1942 nucleotides long. RefSeq lists it as uncharacterized. Lineage: Eukaryota; Viridiplantae; Streptophyta; Magnoliopsida; Sapindales; Anacardiaceae. The transcript has 3 exons. The record is from RefSeq and is a predicted model, not a curated record.
AUGAUUUUUGCUCUUAGCAAACAAUGGAUGCCACUGAUCUCGUACUUGGUGAUGCGGAGGGGUUACCAAAAUGAGCUUCCAAACAUUGUUGAUGUAAAGCUUAUGAUAUAAUUACACAAAAUGUCAGGCCCGUUGAGAUCACUAAAAUAAUUGAGCUGGGUGGCUGCUUAGAGUACAAUUGUUGACAGUUGAGCUGCGAACAAUGGAGAAGGAUUAAUCCUCCAUGACAAAUUCAGUGGGUUGACCUUAUAUAAGGGUGUCUUGUAGGAAUCGAUAGUUGAAGAGAAAAAUAAUACUGUUAACUCCAUGAAAGGUCAAGCUAGGGGAACAACUGAGAAGGGUUCACACCGUAAGAAUGUAACAAGUAUGGUGAAGAAAAAUAACGAUGGGAAAAUUGGUUCGGUCACCUCAAAGCAGCCUCUUGCCAUUGCAACUAACCGGAGGUUAUCUAAUGACAGGCAAAAUUCUGGAAGCAUCAAAGGUGUUGUUUCUGGUAGGGCAACAAAGCCAGUACUUCGUGUUUAAGCUUGAAUGUAUGCUCUCUUUACGGCAAUGAUAAAAAAUUUUAGUCCAUAAGAUUGGAUUUAAGGACUUGUUUCUCACGGUAUUUUCCAUAUUUGCUUUGGGCAGCAAACCAAAAUGUCUUACGCUGCAACAACAGUGAAAGCAGGCUUAAGGCUGCUGAUGUUUCUAAGUGUAACAGUACUGUCUUGCUCUCUUUUCACUUCACUGAAGAUGUUGUUUAUCUUUGAAUACUUCACAGAAGCCCUGAAUCAAGAGGUAAUAAACCUCAAAGAAAGGUGGACUACCUUGAUAUGGCUUCAGUUUUAAGUGUGAUGAUAGGACUGAGAAACGUAAAGAGGUCUAUUUGAUUCUUAUUUGCAAACUGAUUAUGACUUUAUCUUUAAGCUUCAUUUGAUCAAUUUCAGAUUUACUAACUAUUUGCUUGCUUUUGUUUGGGAAGUUACCAUGCAGGCAAAAUCGCAGGCGGUGCUCUUAAAAGUUUUACUGGUUGAAUACUUUUCUAACAUUGAUUUAUCAAAUAAUUCUGUCCAUCAGAUAACACAUUUUGACCAUCAAAUUUUUUACUGGUUAUCUGAAGUUUGGCUGGAUGAGUCAAUGCCUAUUUUCUGAAGUUACAAGUGUUGCUGAAAUUGGGGUUUAAAAUACGCUUUCAGUUCAAAUUGCUUUGUUAUGUAGACUUGAGAGUGAUGGAAACGAGCCACAGAGAAAGUGCAGGAGUGUCUUUUGUAAUACCUGGAAAGCCUUUGCUCAUAAAAGUUUUAGUUAUGUCAAAGUGUGUAUAAAUUUCUUGAUUUUGAUGGCAGAUUCCAACAACAAGAGCUAAAUCUCCUAAGCUUGGCUGGUCCAAAGGAUCAUACAAAGACUCUGAUGGAAACAGUAGCCAUGGUUCUCAAUCAGGCUGGUUAAGUCUCGAUAAGAAAAUUACUCAAUAUCGGGGUUGCCAAAGGAUCAUCCCCCCAACAGUAUUAAAAACCAGUUAGAAAAGUCUCUUCCCAAGCUUCCCUCUGAGAAAACUACAAUGAAUGAUGCUACAGGAGAUUCUGCAUCCAUUUCCCAAAAUUCAGAACAACCUGAUUUGGAGGCAGAAGCAAAGCAAACUCAGCCUGGUAUAAAUGAUGAACUUGUAGCCUGCUUGGACGAGACAGAGAGUGAAUCCAAAGUCGCAAAGCACUCAACAGAGGAGCAGUGAGUACAAGUGGACAUGAUAACAUGCAUUAGCUGAGCCUUAAAUGGGUUGGUCUAGAUUAAAACAUGAAACUAGAAAGAAUGUGUUGUAUUGGGUUGUAAUGCUACGGUGUUCAUAGUCCGUGGGUGGUGUGUGAUGCUAGCUUUUGUGUGCAGAUUAUGGAUUGACUGCUCGUGUGCAGAAUAUGGUUCUUUGAUGCAGAUACUUUUUAUAAACUAUUUCUUUUUAUUA